ACACAUGCAAGUCGAGGGGCAGCAUGGUCUUAGCUUGCUAAGACUGAUGGCGACCGGCGCACGGGUGAGUAACACGUAUCCAACCUGCCGUCUACUCUUGGACAGCCUUCUGAAAGGAAGAUUAAUACAAGAUGGCAUCAUGAGUCCGCAUGUUCACAUGAUUAAAGGUAUUCCGGUAGACGAUGGGGAUGCGUUCCAUUAGAUAGUAGGCGGGGUAACGGCCCACCUAGUCUUCGAUGGAUAGGGGUUCUGAGAGGAAGGUCCCCCACAUUGGAACUGAGACACGGUCCAAACUCCUACGGGAGGCAGCAGUGAGGAAUAUUGGUCAAUGGGCGAGAGCCUGAACCAGCCAAGUAGCGUGAAGGAUGACUGCCCUAUGGGUUGUAAACUUCUUUUAUAAAGGAAUAAAGUCGGGUAUGCAUACCCGUUUGCAUGUACUUUAUGAAUAAGGAUCGGCUAACUCCGUGCCAGCAGCCGCGGUAAUACGGAGGAUCCGAGCGUUAUCCGGAUUUAUUGGGUUUAAAGGGAGCGUAGAUGGAUGUUUAAGUCAGUUGUGAAAGUUUGCGGCUCAACCGUAAAAUUGCAGUUGAUACUGGAUAUCUUGAGUGCAGUUGAGGCAGGCGGAAUUCGUGGUGUAGCGGUGAAAUGCUUAGAUAUCACGAAGAACUCCGAUUGCGAAGGCAGCCUGCUAAGCUGCAACUGACAUUGAGGCUCGAAAGUGUGGGUAUCAAACAGGAUUAGAUACCCUGGUAGUCCACACGGUAAACGAUGAAUACUCGCUGUUUGCGAUAUACGGCAAGCGGCCAAGCGAAAGCGUUAAGUAUUCCACCUGGGGAGUACGCCGGCAACGGUGAAACUCAAAGGAAUUGACGGGGGCCCGCACAAGCGGAGGAACAUGUGGUUUAAUUCGAUGAUACGCGAGGAACCUUACCCGGGCUUAAAUUGCAGAUGAAUUACGGUGAAAGCCGUAAGCCGCAAGGCAUCUGUGAAGGUGCUGCAUGGUUGUCGUCAGCUCGUGCCGUGAGGUGUCGGCUUAAGUGCCAUAACGAGCGCAACCCUUGUUGUCAGUUACUAACAGGUUCCGCUGAGGACUCUGACAAGACUGCCAUCGUAAGAUGUGAGGAAGGUGGGGAUGACGUCAAAUCAGCACGGCCCUUACGUCCGGGGCUACACACGUGUUACAAUGGGGGGUACAGAGGGCCGCUACCACGCGAGUGGAUGCCAAUCCCCAAAACCUCUCUCAGUUCGGAUUGGAGUCUGCAACCCGACUCCACGAAGCUGGAUUCGCUAGUAAUCGCGCAUCAGCCACGGCGCGGUGAAUACGUUCCCGGGCCUUGUACACACCGCCCGUCAAGCCAUGGGAGCCGGGGGUACCUGAAGUGCGUAACCGCGAGGAGCGCCCUAGGGUAAAACUGGUGACUGGGGCUAAGU
This 1431-nucleotide ribosomal RNA is filed under the name uncultured organism. RNAcentral describes it as "SSU rRNA". It matches the Rfam family "Bacterial small subunit ribosomal RNA". The record is from RNAcentral.